RNAcentral lists this ribosomal RNA (253 nucleotides) under uncultured bacterium. RNAcentral describes it as "partial 16S ribosomal RNA". It matches the Rfam family "Bacterial small subunit ribosomal RNA", at positions 524 to 776 of the family's 1533-position model. The record is from RNAcentral.
UACGGGGGGGGCAAGCGUUGUUCGGAAUUACUGGGCGUAAAGGGCUCGUAGGCGGCCAACUAAGUCAGACGUGAAAUCCCUCGGCUUAACCGGGGAACUGCGUCUGAUACUGGAUGGCUUGAGUUCGGGAGAGGGAUGCGGGAUUCCAGGUGUAGCGGUGAAAUGCGUAGAUAUCUGGAGGAACACCGGUGGCGAAGGCGGCAUCCUGGACCGACACUGACGCUGAGGAGCGAAAGCCAGGGGAGCAAACGGG